This 1292-nucleotide long non-coding RNA is filed under the name Numida meleagris (helmeted guineafowl). RNAcentral's name for it is "lncRNA (ENSNMEG00000013644.1)". Lineage: Eukaryota; Metazoa; Chordata; Aves; Galliformes; Numididae. The record is from RNAcentral.
CUGGCCACCUCUAAGGAGGCAGAACAAUUCUAAUCUUAUAAAAUUUAAACCUUUUUCUUCUUUUUUUUCCCCCCCACUCUCUCUUUUCAUUGAUUCUGUAAAAACUGUAGAAAUCAAUCAUCUGACUCUUUUGACUGAGCUUCCAAUAUUUAGUUAAAAUAAUAGGUUAAUUGAAGGCCUAAUAAUUAAUUUUAUCUCUUUUCUUAGGAAAACUUAAUCCCCUGGGCUUACUAAAACAAAAUAAAAUAAAUUAGUAAUUGUUCUGCUGUAGUGAACUUUUUUUUUUUUUUUUUUUUGCAUCUUCUAACAUACUCCCUCUAGAGUAAAUUCAGGCAGUCUAACAUCACCACUGCAAAUCCUCAUUCUUUUUUACUUUCUCACCCAAACUUACAAAAAAAAUCAGUAUAACAGUAAAUUAUUUCUUUAGCAUCAGUGACUAAUGUUAACAUCAAUUCCAGCAUUUCUCUCCAUCAGAAAUUUUCCAGAUUGUAAUAUAUGCAUCUGGACUGCAGUCUAAUGGAUGCAAAAGUUGAGUCAGGAUGGCUUCCCUGGCAAUAAGAAACCAGGAGAGGAAGAAGAUGUGUCGGAUUCUUUACCUAAUGGUUUUCACAGUAAGAGGAGAUUGUUGGCACGAUGUCUACAUUUUUCCAUCAAUAUUUGCAGAUUUGAUACAAUGCAUGAUUUUCAGUUACUGAAAGUCAGAACAGUGCUGGUGUGAAGAUUACAUCCACUAGAGCCACUAAUCUAGUUCUGUAAAAUACCCUGGCAGUCUUUUCCUUUUUCUUCCUUUACUUAUUUUUUUUUUUUAAUUAAUACCUUCAAGAGAAAACAGUGAUAACUACAAAACCUGAGAAAACUGAAAAUUUGAAAUUUGAUUUAAACAAGUGAUUUAACCAUUACUAAAUGGGGAACCAUUAACUAUCAUUGAUGGUAUCAUAAACCUUCAAAUUCCAGAUUAUUUCCAUCAGAUAGUUAGAAAACCACCUAUCUUAACCACUUCACUGUGCUUUUUUAUUUAAUGAGUUCUCUCUCCUUCUCAGUGACACACAGAAAAGGCAACUAUAAUUGAUAUCCAUACUUUCAAUGUCUGAAAAGCUUGAUUUAUGGCUUCUUUUAUUGCAUCUAAGCGUAAUGAAUCUCAAAAACAUGACUUUAAUCACGGCUUUGGUUUUAGAUAUUCUGAAAAUGAAUUAUUUCUUAGGGGAAUUAAGAAUUAAGAGAAUGAAGUGUGUGGAGGCUGUUAUCAAAACAAAUAUCUUCUAAGCGGUAAAUAAAACAACACGUGUAUACCA